RNAcentral lists this ribosomal RNA (497 nucleotides) under uncultured bacterium. Its description in RNAcentral is "partial 16S ribosomal RNA". It matches the Rfam family "Bacterial small subunit ribosomal RNA", at positions 28 to 507 of the family's 1533-position model. The record is from RNAcentral.
GAUGAACGCUGGCGGCGUGCCUAAUACAUGCAAGUCGAGCGAACAGACGAGAAGCUUGCUUCUCUGAUGUUAGCGGCGGACGGGUGAGUAACACGUAGGUAACCUACCUAUAAGACUGGGAUAACUUCGGGAAACCGGAGCUAAUACCGGAUAAUAUUUUGAACCGCAUGGUUCAAUAGUGAAAGACGGUUUUGCUAUAACUUAUAGAUGGAUCUGCGCUGCAUUAGCUAGUUGGUAAGGUAACGGCUUACCAAGGCAACGAUGCAUAGCCGACCUGAGAGGGUGAUCGGCCACACUGGAACUGAGACACGGUCCAGACUCCUACGGGAGGCAGCAGUAGGGAAUCUUCCGCAAUGGGCGAAAGCCUGACGGAGCAACGCCGCGUGAGUGAUGAAGGUCUUCGGAUCGUAAAACUCUGUUAUUAGGGAAGAACAGAUGUGUAAGUAACUGUGCACAUCUUGACGGUACCUAAUCAGAAAGCCACGGCUAACUACGUG